AUACAUAGUUAAUCCAAUAUAUUGUCAGGGGGUGGCGGCGGGGGACCCUAUAUUCGGACGGUUGUUUGUACAUCGCCUAAUACAGGGGUUCGGAACAAUGUACCUUUAACGCGCAUCACCUGUGUGUGCAUAUGAAACAAGGGA
Molecule: non-coding RNA, 144 nt
Organism: Caenorhabditis elegans
Lineage: Eukaryota; Metazoa; Nematoda; Chromadorea; Rhabditida; Rhabditidae
Source: Ensembl